Molecule: ribosomal RNA, 433 nt
Filed under: uncultured bacterium
Lineage: Bacteria
Description: partial 16S ribosomal RNA
Rfam family: Bacterial small subunit ribosomal RNA
Source: RNAcentral
AACGAACGCUGGCGGCAUGCCUAACACAUGCAAGUCGAACGAGACCUUCGGGUCUAGUGGCGCACGGGUGCGUAACGCGUGGGAACCUGCCCUUAGGUUCGGAAUAACUCCCCGAAAGGGGUGCUAAUACCGGAUAAUGUCUUCGGACCAAAGAUUUAUCGCCUUUGGAUGGGCCCGCGUUGGAUUAGCUAGUUGGUAGGGUAAAAGCCUACCAAGGCGACGAUCCAUAGCUGGUCUGAGAGGAUGAUCAGCCACACUGGGACUGAGACACGGCCCAGACUCCUACGGGAGGCAGCAGUGGGGAAUAUUGGACACUGGGCGAAAGCCUGAUCCAGCAAUGCCGCGUGAGUGAUGAAGGCCUUAGGGUUGUAAAGCUCUUUUACCCGGGAUGAUAAUGACAGUACCGGGAGAAUAAGCUCCGGCUAACUACGUG